RNAcentral lists this unclassified non-coding RNA (400 nucleotides) under Hevea brasiliensis (rubber tree). The record is from RNAcentral. Lineage: Eukaryota; Viridiplantae; Streptophyta; Magnoliopsida; Malpighiales; Euphorbiaceae.
GCUAAAUCUGUUCCUUCACCUCACAAAGUUGAUCUUAGCAACCCUGAAAUAAACAUAGUGGUUCAAAUAGUCAAGACCGUGUGCUUGCUUGGAGUUGUUGAAAAGUACAAGGAGUUGUCCAAGUAUAACUUGAGGCAGCUUACCUCUAAAAACUAGUUCUACCGAGACAUCAUACAGAGUUCAUUCAGUUGAAGCAUCGGGAUCAAAGAGAACUCUGCUGGAUGCUUUAAUAUCUGCUAUGUCUGAUAUAGUUUUUGAACUCCUUAGAGAACCCUCUGAAGGAGGUUAUGCAUUCAAUGAUCAUGUUUUAGGUUAGGUUUAUAUCAAUGUUUUAGGUUAGUUUGAAAUUUUACUACAAACUUUAUGUUAAAGAUUUGAUUAUGUUUUCAGCUCACCUUCU